RNAcentral lists this long non-coding RNA (2219 nucleotides) under Homo sapiens (human). RNAcentral's name for it is "HSALNT0004575". The record is from RNAcentral. Lineage: Eukaryota; Metazoa; Chordata; Mammalia; Primates; Hominidae.
UUCUCUGGGUUCCUACUCACUGUGUGGUUUUGUAUGAGCCCGGGCUCUGAAGGGCUAUGAUUCCUAUUUAAGUCACUUCUCCCCUCCUAACUGCAAUGGGCCACUUUGAAUGAUGUGCUGAAUAUAACUGGCUUGGAUAGUGAUCUUAUUACAGGUCUCUGCUGCCCACAGGGCCUGAGACCAGCAGCUGGAGAAACGCUGAUGGUUCUGCCCUCCCAGGAGCCGCCAAGUCUACGAAACACUAGGCCUUUGUCCCCAGUGUCAGGGAAAUCCAUUUGCUGUGGAUUACAGCUGUGACAGAGGUUCCGGGAAAGCAGAGGGGAAGGAUACUGAAAACCUCUCUCCAAAUCUAGCCUAAAGCCCUGGGGUAAGGCAGGGUGAGGUUUUUCCUAAUGGAAUCAGAGCUGGGCAGGAAAUGAGAAGUCUCGUCAGCCCCAUCGUGGCUGCUGGUAUUAUCAUGAGGCGGCUUGGUAUGGAGAGUCUGAAGAGAUGGGUGAACAUAUUCCUUUGCUGUGGCUCUGCUUCUCCUUUCUGGAUGCCCCUCCGCCAGAGGCAUAAGGCAGUAAUAACAGAAGAUUCAGACUCCCUAGACUUAGGGGACCUGGGGGAGGCCUCCUUACACCUCUCGGCUGCUGCAUGAACAUAAGUGUCCUGAUUUGUUCCAGUCUGAAGCCACUGACUCACUGGGAGCAGUCCAAAUGGAUGCAGCUCAAACCAUCUCAAAAGGUCCCUCCCUCUCCCCUGUCCUCUGCAUGUUGCCACCUUUAGUGUCUCUAGAAACCAAAGUAAGUAAAUGAAGGCCAACAAAAAUAGAAGUGAAGGAUGAGGAAUUAAAGCUGGUCAUAUAGUCCUAGCAAUCCAAACAGAAUGAUUUCAUUGUGAUGCAAAACACUAUAAAUUUAAAUGAGUAAACUUUCUGAAACCUUACUGUUUUCUUCCUAAUUUAUAAAAGGCAGGUUAUAUCAAGUAUUUCUAUAACAAGGUGGUGCUGGUUGGUUGAAGAAUAUGAGGAGGAAAAAGAAGGAUUUGCUGUCUUUUGGAAGGGAUGUACAGUGAAAGCCACACUGUGCAGAUGCUGAAUGCUUGGGGACGGGAUGGAUGAGUUUGUCUAGACUUGGGCAGCCCUGGACUCACUGCUGUAAGGCAGAGCAAAAUAUAUUCUGUGUCUUCUAUGGGCCCCUAAUCAAAUAUAAGCAGUGUCCUUAUAAAAGAACGCCAUGUGAAAACAGGCACACACGGGGAGAAGCCAGCCACGUGAAGAUGGAGGCAGAGAUUGGAGCUAUGCUGCCACCAGCCAAAGAACACCUGCAGCCACCAGAAGCUAGGAAGAGGCGAGGAAGGACUCAGGGGGAGCAUGGCCCUGCCGACACCUGGAUUUCAUACUUCCAGCCUCCAGAACGUACUGAGCAUUUGAUGUAAAUCUUGUCAGGAGCCACACACACCAACUUUCUGUGCUCAGGGACCAGUGCAGUCUGUGUGGACCAGAACCAUAUGAAGUGGACUCAGGAGAUAGUCUCCAAGCCUGUCUCCUCAGAGUGAGCAGGCUAGGCUUCAGAAGAGAUGGCGUCUUGCUUUCCUGCCCAGGCUGGUCUCGAACUACUGGGUUCAAGUGAUCCUUCUGCCUUGGCCUCCCGAAGUGUUGGGAUUACAGGCAUGAGCCAUCACGCCCAGCCAAAACAGCGUUUUUAAAGCACUUCCCAGGAAUAGCACAACCACUUUGGAAAUCAGUCUGCCAAUUUCUUAUAAAACUAAACAUUCAUCUACCCUAUAACCCAGAAAUUCCAUCCUUAGGAAUUCACUCAAGCAAAAUGAAAACAUAUGUUCAUAAAAAGUCUUGUACAAAUACGUUCAUAGCAGCUUCAUUCAUAAUAGCCCCCAAACCUGUGGUAUAUCCACACAAUGGAAUGCUAUUCAUCAAUAAAGAGAAACAAAAUAUUAAUAUGUGCAACAACAUGGAUGAAUUUAAAAAAUACUAUGCUGAAUAAAAGAAGCCUUAUACAAGGGUACAUACUACAUGGUUCUAUUUAUAUGGAGUUCUUAGAAUAAAGUUAAUCUAUGAUAGAAAAAAAUCAGAGCAGUGGUUGCCUCUGUGGGGUACGGGGUGGGGAAUGGCUGGGAAGGGGGAAGAGGGAAUUUCUGGGGUGAUGUUGAUAGGGAUUUGUACUAUAUCAAUGCAUGCCUCUGUCAAAAUUUACAGAAUAGUGUUUUUCAAAUUUGUG